CGCGGGGUGGAGCAGUGGCAGCUCGUUGGGCUCAUAACCCAAAGGUCGCAGGUUCGAGUCCUGCCCCCGCUACCA
RNAcentral lists this transfer RNA (75 nucleotides) under candidate division CPR2 bacterium GWD1_39_7. Its description in RNAcentral is "tRNA-Met". It matches the Rfam family "tRNA". From Rfam's summary of the family: Transfer RNA (tRNA) molecules are approximately 80 nucleotides in length. Their secondary structure includes four short double-helical elements and three loops (D, anti-codon, and T loops). RNAcentral also lists the same sequence under 5 other names. The record is from RNAcentral. Lineage: Bacteria; candidate division CPR2.